GACGAACGCUGGCGGCGUGCUUAACACAUGCAAGUCGAGCGGCGCGGCGAACGGGUGAGUAACGCGUGAGUAACUGCCCCCCUCUCUGGGAUCACAGUUGGAAACGGCUGCUAAUACCGGAUAGUGGGGGAUGACUCGCGUCCUAUCAGCUUGGUGGUGGGGUAGUGGCCUACCAAGGCGACGACUGGUAGCAGGCCUGAGAUGGCGACCGGCUACAGUGGGAUGAGAUACGGCCUAAACGCCUACGGGAGGCAGCAGUGGGGAAUAUUGAACAAUGGGGAUACCCUGAUGCAGCAACGCCGCGUGGGUGAUGACGGCCUUCGGGUUGUAAACCGCUUUCAGCCAUGACGCGGUAGUGGCAGAAGAAGCACCGGCUAACUACGUGCCAGCCGCCGCGGUAAUUC
This 404-nucleotide ribosomal RNA is filed under the name uncultured bacterium. RNAcentral's name for it is "partial 16S ribosomal RNA". It matches the Rfam family "Bacterial small subunit ribosomal RNA", at positions 28 to 526 of the family's 1533-position model. The record is from RNAcentral.